Long non-coding RNA from Dermochelys coriacea (leatherback sea turtle), 725 nucleotides. RefSeq lists it as uncharacterized. The transcript has 2 exons. The record is from RefSeq and is a predicted model, not a curated record. Lineage: Eukaryota; Metazoa; Chordata; Testudines; Dermochelyidae.
GGACUGGCUCCUUGGCUGGAAGGUAGCACCUUGGACUGAGCAGUGCUGGUUAAGGCCAGAAGGAGCUGUGGAGCUCUGGCCAAGGAAAGCCCUAGGCUGCCGGCCUAGGCCGGCAGGUGCAUAGGGCUGAAGGGGAAGUGGCCCAGGGAUAAUAGCCGGGCAAGGGGAGAGAAGGAGGGUGGAGAGGCUGCUGUUAGAGGGUCCCUGGGUCAGGGCCUAGAGUAGUGGGUGGGCUUGGGUCCCCCCCUUCCCCUUGUGCCUCACUGGGCUGAAGAGGAGUGUGGCCCGAUCCAGGCUGUGGCUGGGCCCUGUGAUAAGGGGCUAGACUUAGAGGCUGCAGCCAGACACUACAACAGGUGCAGAUUGUGGACUGCUUAUAAGACCAAACCCCUGGAAGGGGGCGAGACCAGAGCAGUGGGCAUUGCUGGAGGGCAGUGUCCUGAAGAAGAUGCUGCUGAGCGGGGAGCAACAAGGCACCAUGCGAAAAAGGUGCUCCAUGACUGGACAGAGCUAAUUCCUGGAGCAACCAGCGGGCAGUGCCAGCGGUGGUAAGGAGUACGGUGAAUGUUCCUGAAUGCAUUGUUACUCUUGAAGAUUCCAUCAAUGAGUUAGCCACAAAAAACUUGUCAUCUUUCACCAGCAGCCAUUCACUGAAAAACAUAAUUUGUUUCUAUGUCAUGUCUGACAUUUAACCCUCUAAAAUUACAUGUUUAUUAUAAAUAUAA